Molecule: ribosomal RNA, 497 nt
Filed under: uncultured bacterium
Lineage: Bacteria
Description: partial 16S ribosomal RNA
Rfam family: Bacterial small subunit ribosomal RNA
Source: RNAcentral
GACGAACGCUGGCGGCGUGCCUAAUACAUGCAAGUAGAACGCUGAAGCGAGGAGCUUACUCUUCUUGGAUGAGUUGCGAACGGGUGAGUAACGCGUAGGUAACCCGCCUUGUAGCGGGGGAUAACUAUUGGAAACGAUAGCUAAUACCGCAUAACAAUGGAUGACACAUGUCAUUUAUUUGAAAGGGGCAAUUGCUCCACUACAAGAUGGACCUGCGUUGUAUUAGCUAGUAGGUGAGGUAAUGGCUCACCUAGGCGACGAUACAUAGCCGACCUGAGAGGGUGAUCGGCCACACUGGGACUGAGACACGGCCCAGACUCCUACGGGAGGCAGCAGUAGGGAAUCUUCGGCAAUGGGGGCAACCCUGACCGAGCAACGCCGCGUGAGUGAAGAAGGGUUUCGGAUCGUAAAGCUCGGUUGUAAGUCAAGAACGGGUGUGAGAGUGGAAAGUUCACACUGUGACGGUAGCUUACCAGAAAGGGACGGCUAACUACGUG